AGUCGCGUGGUCUAAUGGUUAUGAUUUCUCGUUCACAAUUUGAUUCUUGUGUACAAACAAAAGUCUCCGACUUCCGAGAAGGUUCCGUGUUCGAUCCACGGCGUGACUA
This 109-nucleotide transfer RNA is filed under the name Biscogniauxia mediterranea. RNAcentral's name for it is "tRNA-Val". Lineage: Eukaryota; Fungi; Ascomycota; Sordariomycetes; Xylariales; Xylariaceae. The record is from RNAcentral.